UAGGCUGAAGUCCGAUGGUUUGGACGGCUAGUUGUUAACUAGUUUUAUUGUGAGAUCGAGGCUCAUCAGUCUAGUAGAGCUUUAGUUUAAUUAAAAUGUCUGUGUUGCAAGCAGAAGAUGUGGAUGUCUGCAAGUUCUC
RNAcentral lists this transfer RNA (139 nucleotides) under Xenopeltis unicolor. RNAcentral describes it as "tRNA-Ala". Lineage: Eukaryota; Metazoa; Chordata; Lepidosauria; Squamata; Xenopeltidae. The record is from RNAcentral.